AAAGGGGAUGACACAAUCAGAAGAAUUCACCUGAAAAGGAUACAGCCUCCUCCUGGAAGUCAGAGGAGUAAAUAGGGAAUUGGAAAUUAAUUCCUUAUUUCUGUGCAUGCACAGAAUCUGGGCCCAGGUGACUUAUGGAACCUUUAUAGAGACCAAGGUGACUGACAUUCAUGGGAAAGGGGGUAGAGGGGCAAUAACUGACUGUUCGUCAAAAAUUAUUAGACGAGUGUGUCCACGACACCAGGAGAUAUGUUGAAUCAUGGACAGGUACCAGCAUAUCCACUAAGCUCUAUAUAUGUUGAUGGUGCAAGAUCCAAGUGGGAUGGAACAACAAAUUCCUGCUCAUCCUCCUGCUCAAUAAUACAUGUGCUCAGAAUCUGUUCAUAAUGCAUGGUGAUGGAGUCUCACUCCAUUGCCAAGCUGGAGUGCAGUGGUGCGAUCUCGGCUCACUGCAACCUCCGCCUCCCGGGUUCAAGCAAUUCUCCUGCCUCAGCCUUCCGAGUAGUUGGGACUACAGGCACGCACCGUCAUGCCUGGCUAAUUUUUUGUAUUUUGGUAGAGACGGGGUUUCACCAUGUUGGCCAGGAUGGUCUCAAUCUCCUGACCUCGUGAUCCACCCGCCUCAGCCUCCCAAAGUGCU
RNAcentral lists this non-coding RNA (640 nucleotides) under Pongo abelii (Sumatran orangutan). The record is from RNAcentral. Lineage: Eukaryota; Metazoa; Chordata; Mammalia; Primates; Hominidae.